This 253-nucleotide ribosomal RNA is filed under the name uncultured bacterium. Its description in RNAcentral is "partial 16S ribosomal RNA". It matches the Rfam family "Bacterial small subunit ribosomal RNA", at positions 524 to 776 of the family's 1533-position model. The record is from RNAcentral.
GACAGAGGAGGCAAGCGUUGUUCGGCAUCGCUGGGCUUAAAGCGCGCGCUGGCGGACCGUUAAGCGUCUUGUGAAAUCCCACGGCUCAACCGUGGAACUGCAGGGCGAACUGUCGGGCUUGAGGUCGGUAGAGGUGCCUGGAACUCUAGGUGGAGCGGUGAAAUGCGUAGAUAGCUAGAGGAACGCCAGAGGCGAAAGCGGGGCACUGGGCCGAUUCUGACGCUGAGGCGCGAGAGCGUGGGGAGCAAACAGG